GACGAACGCUGGCGGCGUGCUUAACACAUGCAAGUCGAACGAAGAGCGAUGGAAGCUUGCUUCUAUCAAUCUUAGUGGCGAACGGGUGAGUAACGCGUAAUCAACCUGCCCUUCAGAGGGGGACAACAGUUGGAAACGACUGCUAAUACCGCAUACGAUCUAAUCUCGGCAUCGAGGAUAGAUGAAAGGUGGCCUCUACAUGUAAGCUAUCACUGAAGGAGGGGAUUGCGUCUGAUUAGCUAGUUGGAGGGGUAACGGCCCACCAAGGCGAUGAUCAGUAGGCGGUCUGAGAGGAUGGACGGCCACAAUGGGACUGAGACACGGCCCAGACUCCUACGGGAGGCAGCAGUGGGGAAUCUUCCGCAAUGGACGAAAGACUGACGGAGCAACGCCGCGUGAGUGAUGACGGCCUUCGGGUUGGAAAGCUCUGUUAAUCGGGACGAAAGGCCUUCUUGCGAAUAGUGAGAAGGAUUGACGGUACCGGAAUAGAAAGCCACGGCUAACUACGUG
Molecule: ribosomal RNA, 510 nt
Filed under: uncultured bacterium
Lineage: Bacteria
Description: partial 16S ribosomal RNA
Rfam family: Bacterial small subunit ribosomal RNA
Source: RNAcentral